This 33524-nucleotide long non-coding RNA is filed under the name Musa acuminata (dwarf banana). Its description in RNAcentral is "long non-coding RNA (MACU_LNC007744)". The record is from RNAcentral. Lineage: Eukaryota; Viridiplantae; Streptophyta; Magnoliopsida; Zingiberales; Musaceae.
UAGAGAUUAGGAGGAGCAUAAAAAGAACAUUCAUUCACAAUCAAGAUCUCGGUUUUUCUUUUUGUUUUUUUGAGAUUUGCAUAGAAAAAUCUUAAUAAAAUAUGUUGGAGCAGUCAUCAUAUCAAUAUCAGUACAUGCCGAUCGGCAUUUAUUUAUUAUUUAUAAAUACACACCGAAAACAGAUUGUUGUUUUAGUUAUUGGAUGGUAGCGAUCAGCAAAUUACCAAAAUCAAUACAAACAAAUUACGGAAACGACAUCUGAUCAGUGUGUCGAGAAGUAAUGAUGUGACGAGUCUCCACUGUUUCUUCUUCUUCUUCUUCCCUUUCCUCCAUUGGAUGCAGAAAAGAAAUAACGAAAACUAAUUUAAUCGUUCGGAUUAGAAAGACAAGCACAAGGGAUCGAGUAGUAGCAGCAACAGGAACAACUAUUUCAUCUCACACACCAAAGGAUAUACAUCUCAGUGUGGUUAUACAACUCGGAGAACGCAGCUAACACGAUAGCAUCGUCGACAACAACUCCAACUCCAACACCAACAAAAAGCAGCAAGCAACAAAAGCAACGAAUACGAUCUAACCGUAGCAAACCUAAUCGAAACAAAGCCAGCAGCAGCAGAUCUACAUGGACGAGGGGAGGAAGAAGAAGAAGUCAGCAGCCACGAGUCAACCCCUGAUGUGGCGAACCUUGUGCCAGGUCUUCUUGCAGGUCUCCCCCACCACCUUCAUCCCCUUCUUCACCAGGUGCUUCAACUCCUUGGCUCGCUCCUUCACCUGCUCCUCGAAGCCUCCGGCCAUGGCGACCUCUCACGCUGUGUUCCUUCCCACCCAGAUUCCACUUCUUUAAUAGGGAUAUCUAUGUGUGCAUCGCUCUCUCCCUCUCCAUACUUUUAUUUUUUAUUUUUAUUUUUUGUAAUGUAUACGUAUCCAGUGGUGGGAUUUGAAAUAUGCCGUGAUACGUGCCAUGCACCGUUGGGAUGAUCAUGGUUUGCACGAUUUCCGGGCUUUUGAAAAAGAUAGCAGUGACCGAGUUGGAUAGCAGAUAAGAACAGGGUGUAAAGCAAAGGCUCUUUUACAGAGACGAGACAGAGAUGAUGAAGGUAAAACAAAUACCAUCGAAACACGUUAUAAUCCUAGCAAAACAUGCGACAUAAACGUAGAAUGGACCACAACCCCGGACUCGGUGGCUGUCACUGCAUCAUCCUGUGACAAGGUUGUGGGCACCAGCUCUGCAACGCUCACAUGAAUGCAAGAUUGCUUCGUACAGAUCCCGCGGAUCCAUGCAAAACGGUGGGGGUGACAAUAAUACGUCCGACCUAAAAUUGAUCAGGUGGGGUGCAGGUCCUUUUUGUCCCAACUCUUAUAUUUCAGUUUUAAAUUUGGAUCGAAUCUUCAUCUCAAAGUUCAAAUAUAUUAUUAUUAUUAUUAUUACAAUAAAAUUAGAUCCCUCUCGUCUCAUCAAGAUUAUAUGCGAUUUGCAUGUUAUUUGAUGUUUUUUCUAUAUAGAUUAAUUAUUAUGAUUUAAUGGAUCAAAAUAUUUAAAUUUAAAUUCAUAUAUUCAUCAAAUCUUUAUUAGUUAAUCUUAAUUUUUACUCACUUUUAAUAUAAACUUUGACAUCAUUAAUCCAACCAAUGGUCCAAAAAAGACACCAACAGUUUAUAAUGGUGUAGCCAUUUUAAUCUUUGUUAGCCAUACGAAUAUAAGAUAUAUUCUCAAAUGAAGACAGAUCAAUUAUGACCCACAAAAUGGAAUGCAAAUGGUUUGCUGGCAUCGAAGGGGCAAAACCUCAGCUUAAAAGGAAUGCAGCUGGUGAAUACAUGUCAAUGAAAACAGUAACAUACUCCAUAUGAAAGUCGGCGAUGCCACCUGCUAUCAAUUUUGAACUUUCCUAGGAAACCUUUAGUAGAUAUUUCUCCUUUACCCAAAGGAAGAACACAUUUUAGUCAGCAUAUGCAUUUGACAAGAUAGUCCGUUUGAUUUAUUAGUUGCUUUCCUCUUUCAGCUACAAAAAAUCAGAUUUACUCAAGGUGAUUAAUUUCAUGAUUCAACCAUAGAGUAUAAAUCUCUCUAAGAAACAAAAGAAAAGUGAACAUGCAACUAAAUGAAAGCGAUCUUAGUGUACAUCCUUGAUAUGAAUUUACGACAUCAUAGUUAUUAGUAAUAUCAUUGCAUUAUAUACAGAAUGAAUGGCAAAGCAAGGAGUCAAUUGGCCAGUCCAACAAUAUGCAGAACCAACAACACAACCAAUGAGGAAGAGUUGCAGAGAAUUCUCACCAGAGAAGUGGCCAAUGCUGAAAACAAAUGAACUAAUAAUAACAGCUUGCCACCAUUUCAUUGUGGAGGAUAGAGAUGAUAGAAGGAACCCCCGAUAAACAGUUUCCUCCAACAAAGGACUAACGAGGCAAUACAGAAAAAAGCAUGACAUCAUAGACAAAGGGCUAUCCGAAAGAAUCUUUUUCAAGAUCGGGUCAUUCACAUCCUGCAAGCAACCACAGAAGAACUAAUUUAGUCAGAAAAGAAGCAGAAAGUAGUUUAAAUGCUCAUAAUUAUCACUACAUCAAAUACCUGCAAGUUCAUUCCACAUUCAAAUUGAUUCUCACCAUAACAUACACUUUAGCAAGUGCUAGGAUGUAAAAGAACUAGUUUACCACACAUAAGCAGAAGAAAACUUGCUCGACAUGGUUUUACUUUUUUCUUCUUUCUGUCCCAGUAAACCUACCAGAAUAGUGAUACCACGAAUACAGUUGUUUAUUAUUACAUAGCGGAUAUAUCUACUUACCAGUAAAACCUACCUACCAGAAUAGUGAUACCAUAGAUGUUCAAUAUGUUCUUUGAAAGGUUUGUUUCAUCAAUCAUAUUUUCGGAAUUAAGAAUCUUUUGUCGCAGUUGUAUUUAAUAUGUAAAUUCAACACUUCUUCAGCAAAUAACAGUUCAACUUGCCAUAGCUUGAUAACAUGAGUAUUUAGACUUCUAGAAGGUAAAAAAAAAAAGCCUCCUUUGCAAUCAAAAUAAACUAAAAUCCUGCUACGAAGUCAAUAGAGGAAAUUCUAGGCAUUAAACAUAGCAGUUUAGCUUACCUUAGGUCCAACCAGCAUGUCAGCAACUAUGGAUGUGAGAAACACUAGCCCAAUCAAAGUACCAAUCCCCACAAUAGAUGCUGUGAUGCAGCUUCUUCCUCCCCAAAACCACUUUGCAUGGAAGAAUCUGCAAACAUCAUAUUGCGGCUUUGCAUUAAAAUGCAACAGUGUUGAAACUCCAACAUACUCUGUAACUUGUAGCACAGUGAUGGACACAACCUGCAUUGAACAGAAGUGGUGAUUGUUUAAUCAACAAAGAACAGCUUUUUUAAAGUAUGUGAAUCACGUGUUUCUACAACAUUUGCUAUCUGGAAUAGCUCGUUCACCAUCGUCAGCGGAUCAAGGUUAGGUUCAUGAAGAAUUUGAGCGAUGACUGAGAGCCCUCCAAAGCUCAAAGGAACGUGCAAGACGAAGAAAUAGGCCGCACAUAUGGACCAUACGUCACUAUUUUCCCAUGGUACGUCGGAUGGAAGCACUGAAAACCCCUGUUUUCCAGGAGAAAAUUAAAUCAAAUUAUCCACGUCACCGAACCAAUCUGGCGCUGAUGAUACUGAAGUAAAGGAGGAACGACAGGAAAGGCAAACAGCUGAUUCCAGGAAACGGAGAUGGAAUAGGCAUUGCCUCGAACAGUUCAUCUGCGCUAUCCUUCCCGGCGCAGAAGCACCUAAAGAAAGAUCUCGUGCGCACCCUGGAUUGGAAACCGCGAAAUGGGAUUGAAACGCACGGGAGGACGCUGGGAUGUUCAGAAGAGCUAGCAGGUUUUGGAAAGGUCGACGACGGGGAGAUUCGGGGAGGGCGUGGAGAAGCCACUGUUAUCAUCAUGGGCGUCGCUUCGGUUUUCCUCAGCCGUCGAUCCCAAGAUUUAUGUUUGGUAUCUAAAUAGAAGCUUUAAGAUUCGAAGAAUCGAGAUCGAGAUUUUAUUCAUAGCUAGGCGACGUUGAAGCUUGAAGAAGAAGCCCUGUCGUCAAAUUUGGGUCGGAUCCAUCCCGAACCCAUCCGACCCAACUUGGCCAGCUCCAGAAGAUAAGUAAGUCAAAUUAGAAGAUUUGUUUUUUCCAAGCAACAAAAGAUAAUAUAUUACUUCAAAACCCUCAUCCAGGUAUAGCGAUGCUAGUCCUCCACUUACAACCUUUCGCACAUACGAGACUAAGCAUAAUAAUUAUCUUUUCUAAAAAUAUGAAUCACUCACUCCAUAAAUAAGUUAAGAACAAAAAUCCAGAGAACCAAAUAAGAAUAAAUUUUGAUCAUGAACUAUUUGAGUCGUUAUGAUUUAUGGUUUACUCAUGUCUAAAAUAACUCAUACAUUUUAAAAAAUAUAGCAUAUAAGUCCCUUCCGUCAAGUCUUUAUUAAUAAAUAUUAUAGUAUGCUUAGCAUGACUUAUAAUAAAUCAUUAAUAUAAUUAUAUAUAAUUUAAGUUUAAAAAAAAUGUUAAAAUCCAUUUUAGCCCAUAUGGACUUGGUCAUUCACCACUUAAGUCUUAUGACUUAUUCAUGUUUAAAAUAACUUCUAUCUUUUCAAAGACGUAGUAUAUAAGCCCCUCUCAUCAGGUUUGAGUUAAUAGACAUUAGAGUUUGUUUACGUACUAUUCUGACUCAUAAUAAAUCAUUAAUAUAAUGAUAUAUGUAGUUUAAGUUAAAAAAAAAAAAAACUGAGACCACCAUCAAUGACCGAAUGAAGUGUUGUCAUGGAAGUGACCACCAACAGUAGCACUGAGCCACUACUACGCAAGGCAUCGUACACACGCAACCACUCCCACAUUGACGAUGAGCUCAAGAGCUUCCGAUCUUACCUCAGGUGGAUGUUCAUCGACUAGCCUAAUGCUAAGCAUGCAAUGGUCUCCUGUUCCCUCUUCCUCCUCUUGGGUAUCUUUGUCCCCAUCAUCUCCCACUUUGUCCUCUCUUAUACCCCCACCCACCAUGCCUAUGAUGUGGUGAUCCAACUCUUCCUCACCUCUGCCUCUUGUCUAUCCUACCUUUGCCUCUCCACUUUUGUUCAUUGUUACGGCUUUUGUCGCUUCCUAUUCUUCAAUAAUAUAGACAUAAUCAAGAGAAGAACCACCACUAAAAGAAAGAGCAUUAUUGGAAUGAGACAAGGUAAGACAUUGGAGAGAAGAGAAGGAUUGAGAUUAGAGUUUGGAGUAAAAACUAAAGAAAAUUCAACAUACAUCUUGGCAUACGGUGGAACUUGAACUCAUAGAAGCUCCAACACGUUAGAGGCACCUCAUGACUUGGCCUCUACGGUAAACUCUUUGGUCCUGCUCCUCUUGAUAUCAUUCAAUCUUCUCUUUCAAAAUUUUAAAAACUCUCGAAGAGUUUUUAAGCUAUUAAUCUUAUUAUAGGUUAUCUUUGCUUUCACUUCUAAUCCAAAUAAGAUAUAAUAAAUACCCUAGAUUAUGAUUUUUGAUUCUCAUGAGUAAUGACCUCUCCUUAUUUCUAUGGAAUGAGAAUUUUUAAACUCUCAAAGAACGUAUUACCAUUAUCCCCAUGUAAAUCUAUACGCCAAACCCACCCAUAAAAUCCUUUGUCCCUCGAAUCAUCUUCCAAAUUGCUACCAAAGUAGGUAUCCCUCUUAGGGUUGAUGACAUCACUAUCUUUAGGGCAUGAGCAAAAUUUACAAAGGUCAAUAUUCUUCUUAAUUUCUCUCUUCCACUUCCGUAAUUCAUCUAGGUGAAAAUAGGAAAGAUGGACUUUGUUCAAACCAUAGCAUAUGAAAAUCCCCUAAAAAUCAAUUACUCCUAUGGCUAUUGGGUUAUAAGAUAGCUCAAUGUAUGUCUAUGAAAUCAUCAGAAAAAUCGACCUGAGGAUAUUUUCAGCAUAUAGAUCAUCCUCUCUACUAGAGAAGGCCAAAUGUAUGACCCGUGGAUGUCCAACAUUGACCUAGACCCAAGAGGGACCCAACCCAAACCAAAUCAACCUGCACUAACCACAUCCCUAUCAUGAAUCCUAAACAAUCCCUAAUCUACAUAGUUAAGUUCAACCUUAAAACUCAAUUCAACUAUUUUAGGGAGGAAAAGAAAAACACUUGAAAAUCAAGAUAAAAAAAAAGAAUAUCCAAGAUAUAACAUAGUUCAGUAACUCCCUACCUACAUCCAAAGAGAAAAUCAAAUUCUCUCACAUAUAUGAGAUCAAUUACAAGGCCCUUGAGUUCUCUCAAGCACAACUUUUUUUUUAUAUAUCCUCUGAUUCAAAUAUGAAAAAUUCUUCAUUCAAUCCUUUCUAGAUUUACUAGACUAACUCUUAGAAGUAAUGAAAGUAUCUUAUAUCUCCGCUUCACUAAAGCUGAAGACUCAAGGUAUAUUUAUAAACAUAAAUUCUAUUCUUUAAAGACUCUUCCUACUUGAAUCCAUAAUCUAAAUCAUAAUCCACCAAUGAGUUUGGAUAUAAUUAGGACUCUUUUUAGUAGUUUGAAUAUAAUUAGAACUCUUAAAAUACUUUCAACCUUGAUAAAUCACUCAAGGGUAUAGUGCUCCUUCCCAAACCACUAAUCACAUUAAACUAACUAUUCAUCGGAGAAGGGAAAGGUUGGGAACAUGAUGUCACCCUAGAUUUUGGGGCAUUGCUUGGAAAAGGGAAGGGUUGGUAGCUAGUAAAGUUGAUUUCAAUUCCUAUACAAUCUUAACAUAUGCCAACAUCAUUCCCUUGACCGAUUCAUCUAGUAUAGUAAUUGUUAUAUCUAAUGUCUCGCCUCCGAAGUCUGCUCUCUCAUCAAUUACGAUGAAGAUUGAACUAAUAUCAUCCUUAGACACUUAAAUCUCUUUAAUUACAAAAGAUAAUAUAUUUUUCUAACCAAAAGACUCCCUUACAUCAUUUACCUUCUCAAACACUACCUUGAUGUAUAACACAACUCAUCUUCCCUUGUUCUCUAUUUCCUCUUUAUCAGUUUCAUCUACAUAUAAUCUAUUUUUGCAAGAACAUAGUAAACAUAUCUUGCUGAGUCCUUGAUCUAAAAUUCUCUCUCCCUUGAACCUUCAUAAAAAUGAAUAUUUUCAACUCUUAGUAGAUAAGGUGGAAUAGGGAUUCUAUAAGACUACUAACCAAAUAACUAAAAAACACGCGAGCAUCCUCCUAGAUGAUGAUGACCUAUAGAAUGGUCUCAUUUUCCUCAAAAGUAAGGACAUAAGACUAGAUUAGUCUCUCCUAAGAGAGUAUCUCUUUCUCUCUCCUUUAUUUCCAAAUACAUAAGUAGAAAAGAAAUAUUAGACUCCAUAAAUACUCUUUUUUUUUAGUAAAUAGCAGACAACUCAUCCUUUCUUUCCCUCGUGAAACUAUUAAGUUAGAACUGUAGAAGUGCACACAAUCGUGAUUGUCUCAAUCAUUUAUUAUAUUCAAUUAGAACUAUUUACAUUAGCAUUGUUAUACUAUCGAAAACUCAUCUUAACUUGGAGACUAAUCAUAGGUACAUCUAUAAGCUCAAUUGUGAUUGGAAAUGAAUCACCUCUCCUACCCAUGGUCGAUCUAGAGAAAUCAUCUUUGCUUGGAAGCCCAAUAAAACAUGUGUCUAUCUAGUGAGCAAGGAUGCUCAAACCUUAUACUUAAUAAUAGAAGAACAAGGUAAAUCUUUAUGGCUUCUUUCUAUAAUUUAUACCAGUACUAUUUUUUAUAUAUGUAAUUCACUUUGAAAAAAAUCUUUCAUCGCAUGCUUUUGAAUCCUUUGCCUUGGUCUUUUUAUGAUGAUUUCAGUUAUAUUAUCAAUCCCAAGGAAAAAAUGGAGGUACUUCAUUUCAAAUCAAUAAUUCUAAUACAAUUUUAUAUGAUUUCAUAUUCUCAUGUAAAAUUUUCGAUCUUGGUUUUCGUAGUCCAAAUUUUAGUUGGUCAAAAAAUUAGUGUAGUCCUUCUAGAGUUUUAACUAGGCUUGGUAAGCUCUUGCUAAUGAUUUCAGACUGAAAUUAUACCCUUCUAAGAAUAUAUAUAUUUUUAUCUCAAUUGCUUGUUUUUUGAUCACUACCCCUUAUUGAUCCAUAUCAACCUUUCUCCGUAUUCUAAACCAAUCAGAUCUUUUAACUUUGAAUCAUAUUAGAUCAACUAUCUUGACCUUAGAAUCUUGACCUUAGAGGCUUAGAGCAACCUAAACCUUCAUACUUUAUUUUUGAUAAUAUUCAUAAUUAUCUAACCAAACUAAGUACCAAUAUCUCUAAAUAGAGUAAAGUGGGGUGAUAAAUGUUAAAAUAAACUAUGUCACUUGGGAGACUAUGUCUAGGUGGUACCAUCGCCCAGAUUGGCGUUACCACAACCUAGUCUGACGAUACUAUCGCCUAACACAAUCUUGGAGACUGAGCCACUAGCGGUGCUAUCGCCUAGACCGUUGGUACCACCACCUGACUAAACUUUUGGGUCAUUGAAUGAGCCUUUCUCUUGCCUCAAAACAGCCCCAAUUCGGGCCCAGUUGGCCCCUAAUUGAGUUAGCUUAAUUACAUUCUAAACCAACCCAAUUAUGACCUCAACUAACUCGAUCUAGACAAAUUAUUUUGAAGCACGAAUCAUUUGUUGUCCGGCAUGUCAUUGGUUUUUCCAACGCUUCGUCCGAUCCUUCGACGCAUCAUUCUCUCCUUUGGCGUAUUGCCCAAUCAGCAUAUUGUCUUCUCGUAAUAUCCAAUCUUCUUGGCGCAAUGUCCGAUCUUCUUGGCCUGAUGCCCGAAUUCACGGAUUGAAACCUUCUAUCGACAAAUCGACCGAUCCUUCGGCUCGACGUCCAAUCUCCUGACAUGUUCAACUUUGACCCAACAUCUGAUUCCCCUUGCUUUAAUUAAUUUGUCUCUCUUGAUCGAAGCUAGUCUAGUGUUACUCAAAACGUAGAUUAGAUCAUAACAUUAUCAAUUAAUUUCAUCAUCAAAAUCCGAGAUUCAAUAAUCUCUCCAUUUUUUAUGAUGACAAUCAAUUGAUGACAGAGUUUAACUAAACUCUCCCUAUCAAUAUGACAUAAAUAAGAUGAACCUUGAAUUAAAAUUAAAUUUAAGUCAAAGUAAAUUUAAUCAUAAAUAUUUCAUCAUUGAAUGCUUUAGUAUCAUAAGUUGAAAUAUUGCAUGCAUAAUACCAAAUUAUCAUGUAUAUUUUCAAAAUAUAAAAUUAUCAUUACAUGCAUGAUUCCAAAUCAUCAUUUAUAAUAUCAUACCAUACAUAAUCAUCAUCAUACCUUCUCCACUUUUGUCAUCAACAAAAAGAAGAAGUGCAACUAUCAAUAUUUUAGAGGUAUAAGCUUAACAAUUAGUAAAUUUCUCAUCACUUUAGAACAUGCAAACUAGUGAGUUCUUUCUUCUCUUUUGAGAAGUGCAAGCUAGUAAUUUUUGCUUCCUUUACAAAACAUAAGCUAGCAACAAUUUUGAGUUUUGAAAGUUUGUAAAUUUUGCUAGAUGUGUAAGUUAGCAUGUUUUCUUUUCUUUACGAUGUUCAAACUAUCAAGUUUUUGAAAGAGAAUGUGAGAUAGUAAAUAACAAGUUUAGAACAUGCAAGUUAGCAAGUUUCUCACAUAUGAAAGUUGGCAAAAAUUUUGUAUCUUUUGAGAUGAGCAAGCUAGUAAGUUUUUCUUACUUUUGCAAUGUGCAAGCUAGCAAAUUUAGCAAGUUUUACAUCAUUUUCGAAUAUGCAAGCUAACAAAUUUUAUAAUAUUUUAAAACAUACAAACUAGCAAUUUUAUCUCCCCUUUGUCAUUGUCAAAAAGAAGAGAAGAAUAUAAUUUUAUGAUUCUUUUCCCUUUAUAUCAAUUUUCAUAUCAUGACAAAGAUAAAGUAUCAUUCUUAAUUCAAUAUGGCAUAUCGAAAUAAGGUAUCAUUUCAAAAAAUGAUAAUUGUUGACUUUUACAUCAUUUCAUUAUAAAAUCAUAAGUAUUACAUGCAUCAUUCCAAAUCAUAAAUAUUUUAAAUCAUAAUGGUCUCAAAAUGUCAAACUACAUUACAUCCUAUCACGCAUGAUCAUAACUUAUCAUUUGUAUGCAUCAACAAUAAUAUAAGUAUUUUAUGUAUAAUUUCAUAUCAUCACAUGAAUAAUAUCAAGAAAAAUUAAUUGGGUGAUGAGAUAUACACUUCAUGAAUACAAAUUUUAAGUUAUGAAUAUCAAAAAAUUAAGAGAAAAAUUAUGAUUCUUUUUGGAUGACUCAAAUAACGAAAAAAAGAAUCAUAGUAAAUGAUCUUGAUUCAUAAAAAAAAUCUCAUGUUAUAAUUCUAAGAAUUCACAAGAAAAAUCAUGAUUUAUUUAAAUAAUUAUUCUUUUAUUAAUUAGCAAAAAAAAAAUAUGGGAGUUCAAAAAUAAGAUCUUGAUUCAUAGAAAAAUCUUAUGUAUCAAAUAUCGAGAAAUCAAGAUCAUGAUUUGGAUAAAAAAUAAAUCUCAAUCCAAAAAAUUUUCUUGUAAGAAAUGUUAAGUCAUCGUCAUUAUCACUUUGGGUUUGAUACUAAAUCAAUAAAUUUUCAAAUCAUCAUUACUUGGGUAUGCAUGAUACCAAAAUAUGGUUUCAAGUCUUCAAGGUAUAACAUGCAUAAUUUCAAACCAUUAUUAAGGUUAUAGUUUGUUUGCAUAAGUCUCUUCUUUAGUAAACGAUAAGAAGGAAUCAUCAAAGAUAGAAAAUAUUUUGAUUCUUAUAAAUGAUAGCUCAAGUAGAGAAAUCAAAAGAAAGUCCAUGAUUUAGUUGGAAAAUUUUCAUUCAUAUUCAAUUUGUUAACUCCAAACUUAUCAUCAAAACCACUUUUCUUAAUUCAAGAGAUAACAUAAAAUAGAUUCAUCACUAAGCACCACUUGUUGAAAAAAUCGAAAAGCUUUAGAGAUAUUUUUAAGAAACAUGCAUUCUCUCCUUUUUGUUUCAAUUUAAGUAAUUUGAUUUCAUACAAACAUGCUUUAAUUUUUUUUGCCAAACAAAAAUAUGCAUUAUCGUUUAAAACCGAAAAAGUUACUUUCAUUACGACAAAGAUCAAUAAGUCAUAAAUCACAAAAAUCAUCAUACAUAAUUUCGAAAUAUAAGCUCAUUAAGCAUGAUUUCAAAUCAUCAUUACUUCAAAUCUUCAUUACAUUAUUAUAUCAUUAAAUCAUCAAGUAUGGUUUCAUUGAACAUAAAGCAUCUUCAAUCAAAAUAAAAAAGUAAUACAGAAAUCAUCAAGAUACACAUAAUUGUUUCUUAAAAAUAUAUAUAGGAUUAAUAUUACUAGGUGUACAAGCAUUAGAUUUAAAUAUAAUAUUUUAUUCCUUUAUCAUAAAGAAAUGCAACUAUCAUGAUCAAUUUUUUUAAUUUUUCAAAAACACUAGAAAGAAAAGCAUGAUCCCAUUUUAUUUUUUUAUAUUUUAUAUACUCAUUUAAAAAUAAUUUAUAAAAUACAUCAAGUAAUUUUAUAGUAAACUAAGGGGGUUUUGGUUACCUCGUCAUCGAAAGCCAUUAAGGCAUUGUUCGCCAUCUUGUCUUUAUUGGUUUGCUUCUCGUCUUCGAUGAGCUCGAUUCGUCCCAAGCCACCUUGAAUACUUUCUUCUUCUUUGGUAACUUCUUCUUUUUAAAUUUAUUUUUAUUCUUAGUCUUAUGUUUUAUAAAUUUUAUAAAUUUAUUUAUGAGGAGUUCUAUGUCAUCAUCAUUUAAACUUUCGCUCAAGUGGUCUUCUUUUGUUCUAAGUGCCAAGUCCUUCCUAUUCUUUGGAAGGUUGUCUCAAGUUUAUCAUGUUUAUCAUAUGUCUUGCACGUCAUUUCAUGUCAUUAAUGAACCAAUAAGUUCUUCUAGUGAAAAAUUAUUUAAGUUCUUUGCUUCUUGUAUUGCAGUUACUUUUGGAUCUAACUCAUUAGAAGGGAUCUUAAUAUCUUGUUAACAAGUUCAAAAUUCGAAAAACAUUUGUUAAGAGCUUUCAAACUAUUGAUGAUAUCCGUAAAAUAGGUAUACAUGUCAACAAUAGUUUCACUGGACUUCAUUUGAAACAAUUCAAAAUUAUGUAUUUUAGACUCUUUAACUCAAUUUGUGCCUUCGUGUGUGAUUUCAAGAGUGUGUCAAAUCUCAUAAGCUAUUUCGUAAAUAUAAACUCAAUUGAAUUCAUUUUUAUCCAAAGCACAAAACAAAACAUUCAUAGCUUUGACAUUCAAAGAGAAAGUCUUCUUCUCUAAAUCAUUCCAAUCGUUCAUUAGAAAAAAAGACUUUUAAAAUUUAUUUUCAAUGAUGUUCCAUAAAUCGAAAUUCAUGGAAAACAGGAAAACUCUCAUUCGAGUUUUCUAAUAUAUGUAGUCCAUCCCGUUGAACAUAGGAGGACGAAUGAUAGAGUGACUCUCUUGAAAUCCGAAAAGAGUCAUUUCUCUUGGAUAUUAAACCAAAUUAGAAAAACAUGGCUCGGAUACCAACUGUUAGGAUCAAAUCAGCACUAAGAGGUGUUAGGAAAGGGGUCGGCACUAAGAAGGGGGGUGAAUUAGUGCAGCGGUAAAAUCACGUCUUCAAAAAUGUUUCAUUUCGAUAAAACAAGUUUCGUAAAGAUGUUAACUUGAAAUUGUAUGAAAACAUAGUGAAUGAGGAAUUCAGUUUGCAAUAAGGUAAAUAGCAAGAAGUAAAUGCAAACCAUAUUUUAGAGUGGUUCGGUCAUCGUGACUUAUAUCCACUUCACCGAUUCCUUUUCCGUCGAGGCCACCGGCAUCCACUAUCGAUCUUCCUUUAAUAGGCGAAGAUCAACCUCCUUCUUACACUCCUCUUCUCCUUUUCACAGGUUUAGAAGUAAACCUUUACAAACACACACUCCUCCUAAACAGAAUUCUAAACUUAGACUAUAGGAGAGGAUUUCUCUUGUAAUUGCAAUAGCGUUUUCUCACUUUUAAAUACUCUAUGCUUAUGUGUGUUAACUAGGGAUAAGAGGGGUAUUUAUAUGCUUCAAGUUGAUUCAAACUUGGAGCAUAAAAAUAUCUCAUCCUGGGUUUUCUAGGUUCGGGCGGUAUCACCGCUUGUGUUGGGCGGUACCACUGCUAGUGUCAAUCUGACACUGACACUACACUAGGCGGUACCAUUGCCCAGUCUAAUGGUACCACCGCCUAUAGCCUCUCGGAGGCUGUGUUUGGGUAGUACCACUACCUAGACGGACGGUACCACCGCCUGACAUAGUCUUGGAGACUGUGUCACAACGGUGUCACCUCUUGGGGCACUGUUUGGACCUUUUUAUUAGGCCCAACACAGUUCUUACAUAGGCCCAACUAGCCCAUAAUUGGGUUGGCCCAAUUCCAAACCUAAUUACGUACUAAUUACGAAAUCUAAGACAUACUUAAGCUAAACAAGUCUGUAAGUCUUGGUUUCUUCCGGCGAACUUCCGACGAUCUUUCGGUAAUAUUCCAGUGGACUCCCGGCAAGCUCCUGGACUUCACGACAAUCUUCUUAGUGAGUUUCAAUGAGCUUCUCUAACAAGCUCCGAGACUUCUCGGCUAGUUCCGACAGAACUUUCGAUGAACGUCUGGACUUACGAUGAACUCUCGAACCCCCAACAAAAUCGCAUCAUUGACUCCGAGACUCCAUUUUGCUUCAUGCCUUGCUAUUGUAGUUAAUCCUGCACAUGUAAAAACAUACUUUGAUCUAGACAAUUAAUACUAAGCAUUAAUCAUGUUGUCUGGCAUGUCAUUGGUCUAUCGACGCUUCGUCCGAUUCUUUGGCGCAUUAUCCUCUCUUGCGGCCUAUUGCCCAAUCGGCCAAUUGACUCCGUAACUCCGAUAUCCUUAGCACAAUAUCUGCUUUUCUUGGCCCGAUGCCCGAAUCCAUGGCCCGAAGCCUUCUGUCAAGACGUCAACCGAUCCUCUAGCCCGAUGUCCAAUCUUCUGACAUGUUUUCCUCGGGCCCAACAUAAUUUUUCCUGCUUUAAUUGUCUCAUCCUGAUCGAAGCAUCCUACAUCACUCAAAAUGCAGAUCAAUUCAUAAAUACUAUCAAUUGGUUUCAUCAUCAAAAUAUGAGAUUCAACAAUACUCGGAUACCAAAGGAGGUUAAUAUUCGCCUAUUAAAGGAAGAUCAAUAGUGGAUGCCAGUGGCCUCAAUGGAAGAGGAAUUAGCGAAAUAGAUGUAGGUCACGACGACCGAACUACUCUAAAAUCUGGUUUGCAUUUACUUCUUGCAAUUUACCUUAUUGCAAACUGAAAUUCUACUUCACUACAUUUCCGUACAAUUUUAAAUUAACAUCUUUACGAAACCGAUUUUAUCGAAACGAAACAUUUUUGAAGACAUGAUUUUAUUGCUGCACUAAUUCACCCCCCUAUUAAUGCCAACCUCUUUCCUAACAAUUGGUAUCAGAGCCUCAUUUUCUCAUUUGGUUUAACACCUAACGAGAAAUGACUCUUUUCGACUUUCAAGAGGGCCACUCUCUCAUUCGUCCUCCCUUUUUCAAUGGGACGGACUACACUUAUUGGAAAACUCGAAUGUGAGUUUUCUUACUUUUUUUGGAUUUAAAUUUAUCGAGUAUUAUGGAAAACUGUAUUUGAAUGUGUUCUCUUCCAAUGAACCAUUGGAAUGGUUUGGAGAAGAAUACAUUUUCUUUAAAUGCUAGAGCUAUGAAUGCUCUAUUUUACAUCUUAGAUAAAAAUAAAUUUAAUCGGGGUUCUAUGUGCGAAACAACUUUCGAUAUUUGGCACACUCUUAGAAAUCACACACGAAGGCACUAACAAAGUUAAAGAUUCGAAAAUCAACUUUUUAAUGUAUAAUUUUAAACUUUUUUGAAUGAAGCCAAGUGAAAUCGUUGUUAACAUGUACACCCGUUUUAUGGAUGUCAUCAAUAGUUUAAAAGCACUUUGUAGAAGUUUUUCAGAUUUUGAACUUAUAAAUAAAAUUUUAUGUUCUCUUAAUAAGAGUUGGGAUUCAAAAGUAACGGUUAUUAAAGAAUCAAAAAAUUCGAAUACUUUUUUGAUCAAAGAACUUAUCGGGUCUCUAAUGACCUAUGAAAUGACGUACAAUGCACGUGAAGAACUGGAGAACCACCUUCCAAAGGACAGGAAGGAUUUCGGACUAAGAACAAUCGAAGACCACUCGAGCAUAAGCUCAAGUGAUGGUGAACUUAAACUUGUCACUAAGAAAUUUAAAAAGUUCAUGAAACAAAAAUUAAAGAACAAAAAGAACAUAAAUUGGGAUGAAUCAAGCUCCUCCGAAGACGAGGAGAAAAUCAACAAAGGCAAGGUAGCAAAUUAUGCCUUAACAACUUUCGAUGGUGAGGUAAUCAAAAUGCCUUUAAUUUAUUUCGAAAUUACAUAAUACUUUCUUAAGUUAUUCUUAAUUUAGUUUUAAUUUUUUUAAAAAAUAUUGUAUGUUUAAUAAUGUAAUGAAAAUAUAAAAAAAUGGGAUCAUGCUUACCUUUCUAGUGAUCAUGAAAAUUACAAGUUUUGUGAUAAACAAACAAAAUGAUUUUGAAUAAAAAUACCUUAUAAAACCAUGCUAUAUGUGUUUAAGAAGUAAUAAUGUGUAUCUUGAUGAUUUUUGUAUUCCUUGUGAUUAUAAAUGGUUCUUUUUUAAUGAAAUCGUGCUUGAUAAUUUAAUGCAUAAUGAUCAUGCUUAAUGAGUUUAUUUUUCAAAAUUAUACAUGAUGAUUCUUGAGAUUUAUGGAUUAUCAACUUUCAUGGCUUUAAAAGUUUUUUUUGGUGUUAAUGUAUUAUGCAUGUUUUCAUUUGGCAUAAAUGAAAAAGGCAUACUUCUAUGAAAUCAAUCUUAUGAAUUGAAACACUAGAAAAUGAUUUUGAUUUGAUGAUUUCAAUUUGAAUGAGAUUUCUCUUGAUUUUUCAAGAUUUAAAACUUGAGAUUUAAUAUAUAUGAAAUAUGGGAUGCAAUGUAAUUUGACAUUUAGAUACCAUCAUGAUUUAAAAUGCUAUGAUUUGUUGCUAAAAUGAUGUAAUGUAAAUAUUGAUUUAAUGUUUGGUAUCAUAAAUACUUUAAAAUGAUGAAUGUUUGGUAUCAUGAUCAAAAUAAUGAUAAAUACUUAAAAAAUUUAAUAUCUUAGUAUCAUGUAUGAUAUGCUCAAAAUAAUAAUGAAUAUUUUGAAAAUAAAUAUUUGUAUCAUGUUUGAUAAUUUUAUAUUUUAAUAAUAUGCAUGAUGAGUUGUAGUGAUGAUUGAUUUAUUUUUGGUAUCAUGAAAAAUGAAAUGUAAGAUUUUAAAAUUAUGUAUAUUUCAAGUUGAAACCAUAAUGAUGCACAAACAUAUUGAAAUAAGGUUGAUACUUUAUCUUUGUCAUGCUUUGAAAAUUAUUAUAAAGGGAAAAAGAGAUACAAAAUUGUAUUCUUCCCUUCUUUUUGACAAUGACAAAGGGCGAGAUAACUAGCUUGCUAGCUAGCUUACACAAGUUAAGAAAAAACAAGAAAUGCUAUCUUACAACCUCAAGAGAAGCAAAAGUGCUAUCUUGCCUAUCUUAAGAAGCAAAAACGCAAACUUACAAAAUUUACAAUCUUGCACAUCUUCAAAAUUAGAUGAUGAUAUUGGUGAUUAUGCAUGUUAUAAGGAGAUGAACAAAUAUGCUAGUUGUAUGUUAUAAAACUUACAUAUCUUAAAAAUUGCUAGCUUGUAAUAUAAAAAAAAGCAAAAAGCUUCUAUCUCAAGAAAAACAAACAUGCUAAACUUGCACAUCUUUAAUUAUUGCUAGCUUACAUAAUGAUAAAACUGGAAAUUAUGUUAAUUAUGCAAUGAUUUAAACUUCUAUGUCCAAACGCUUGAUAGUUGGAACUUCUCCCUUUUGUUGAUGACAAAGGGGGAGAAGUAUGAUCAUGUUAUGCAUGAUAACGUGUUGCAAAUAUUCAUGAUAAAAUUUGCAAUAACUUGAAUUUAGCUUGAAUUCAAGGUUCUAUCAAUAUGACAUAUUGAUAGGGGGAGUUAAGGUUAACUCCGUCAUCAAUUAGUUGUCAUCAUAAAAAAGGGGGAGAUUGUUGAAUCUCGUAUUUUGAUGAUGAAACCAAUUGAUAGUAUUUAUGAAUUGAUCUAUGUUUUGAGUGACAUAGGAUGCUUUGAUCAAGAUGAGACAAUCAAAGCAGGAAAAAUCAUGUUGGGCCGGAGGAAAACAUGUCAGAAGAUUGGACGUCGGGCCGGAGGAUCAGUCGACGUAUCGACAGAAGGCUUCGGGCCAUGGAUUCAGGCAUCGGGCCAAGAAGAGCGGAUAUUGCGCUAAGGAUAUCGGAGUUGUGGAGUCAACUGGUCGAUUGGGCAAUAGGCCGCAAGAGAGGUCGAUGUGCCGAAGAAUAGGAUGAAGCGUCGAUGGACCAAUGACAUGUCAAACAACAUGAUUAAUGCUUAGUAUUAAUUAUCUAGAUCGAAGUGUAUUUUUACAUGUGUAGGAUUAACUACGAUAGCAAGGCAUGAAGCAAAAUGAAGUUCCGGAGUCAAGGAUGUGAUUUCGUUGGGAAUUCGAGAGUUCGUCAGAAGUUCGGAUGUUUAUCGGAAGUUCUAUCGGACACAGCCAAGAAGUCUCGGAGCAUACCAGAAAAUUUCAUCGGAACUCGCUAAGAAGAUCGUCGUGAAGUCCAGGAGCUUGCCGGGAGUCCGCUGGAAUAUUGUCGAGAGAUCGUCGGAAGUUCACCGGAAGAUCGCCGGAGGCUUGCUGGAAGAAACCAAGACUUACGGACUUGUUUAGCUUAAGUAUGUCUUAGAUUCAUAGUUAGCACGUAAUUAGAUUUGAAAUUGGGCCAACCCAAUUAUGGGCCAGUUGGGCCCAUGUAAGAACUAUGUUGAGACCAAUGGAAAGGCUCAAACAGUGCCCCAAGAGGUGAUACCAUCGUGGCAUAGUCUUCGAGAUUGUGUCAAGUGGUGGUACCGCCCAGAUAGCCUCUGAGAGACUGCAGGCAAUGGUACCAUCAGUCUGGGCGGUGGUACCACCCAAUGUCAGGCGGUGGUACCACCAGACUGGGACGUGGUACCGCCAAGUGUAGUGUCAGUGUCAGACUAACACUGACGGUGGUAUUGCCCGGACCUAGGAAACCCAGGAUAAGUUAUUUUUAGCCUCCAAGUUUGAAUCAACUUGAAGCUUAUAAAUACCCCUCUCAUCCCUGGUUAACACACAUAAGCACAGAGUAUUUAAAAGUGGGAAAAAGAUGUUGCAAUCACUAGAGAAAUCCUCUCCUAUAGUCUAAGUUUAGAAUUCUGUUUAGGAGUAGAGUGUGCUUGUAAAGAUUAACUCCUAAACCUAUAAAAAGGAGAAGAGGGGUGUAAGAAGGAGGUUGAUCUUCACCUAUUAAAGGAAGAUCGAUAGUGGAUGCCGGUGGCCUCGACGGAAGAUGAAUCGACGAAAUGGAUAUAGGUCACGACGACCGAACCACUCUAAAAUCUGGUUUGCAUUUACUUCUUGCUAUUUACCUUAUUAUAAACUGAAUUCCUCCAUCACUACAUUUCAAGUUAAUAUCUUUACGAAAUCGGUUUUAUCGAAACAAAAUAUUUUUAAAGAUGUGAUUUUACCACUGCAUUAAUUCACCCUCCCUCUUAGUGCCGCUCUUGAUCCUAACAAGAGGAUAGGGGGAAUUAGUGCGUACGUAAAAAUCACGUUGAGUCAGAAAUUUUCAUUUCGAUAAAAACCGAUAUUGAAAAUGCUUAACUUAAAAAUAUUCAUAAGAGUGUGCAGCUAAAGUAAUGAGGAAGUAAAGUAGUUGCAAAUUAAGUAAAUGCAAACCGAGUUUAUAGUGGUUCGAUUGUCGUGACCUACGUCCACUCCUGAUUCCUCUUCCAUCAAAGCUAUCGACAUCCACUAACGAUUUUCCUUUAAUGGGCGAAGACCAACUACCCUUACAACUCUAUUCUCCUUUUGAGAGGCUCGGGAGAGAACCAUUACACCUCUACUCACCCCUCUCCAAACAGAAAUCACACUUAGACUAGAGGAGGAGAACUCUCACGAGAUUACAACAGAAUUUUCCCUUAUUUUUGUUCUUAGUUCUUGUGUGUUUUGAGCAGGGAUGAGAGAGAUAUUUAUAGGCCUCAAAUAGAUUCAAUCUUGAAGCCUAAAAAUGUCUCAUCCCCGAUUUUUCGGGUACUAGCGAUACCACCACCUUUGCUGGGCGGUACCACCACCCAAUCUAGCAGUACCAUCGCUUGGACCCAACUUUUAGGUCACUGAAUGAGUCUUUCUCUUGGCUCAAAAAAGUCCUAAUUUGGGCUCAGUUAGCUCCUAAUUGAGUUGAAUUAAUUACAUUCUAAACCAACCUAAUUAUGACAUAAACUAACUCGAUCUAGACAAAUUAUUACAAAGCACGAAUCUUCUAUUGUCCGGCAUGUCAUUGGUUCUUCUGGUACUUCGUCCCAUCCUUCGACGUAUUGCUCAAUCAACAUGUUGUCUUCUCGCAACAUCCAAUCUCCUUGAUGCAAUGUCCGAUCUUCUUGGCCCGAUGCCCGAAUUCAUGGACCAAAGCCUUCUAUCAACACGUCGAUCGAUCCUAUGGCCCGACGUCCAAUCUCCUAACAUGUUCAACUCCGACCCAACAUCUGAUUCCUCAUACUUUAAUUAAUUUGCCUCUCCUGAUCGAAGUUAGUCUUGCGUCACUCAAAACAUAGAUUAGAUCAUAAUAUUAUCAAUUGAUUUCAUCAUCAAAAUUCGAGAUUCAAUAUCCAAGACCUCAAGCUUGUCAUGAUCUAUAAUAUUUGACAAACACACUAAUUCACGUCCCUCCCCCCUGCUUAUAUGAUUGGAAAUUCACACAAAUAUAAACUCAAUUGAUUUCAUUUUUAUCCAAAGAACAAAACAAAACAUUCAUAGCUUUGGCAUUCAAAGAGAAAGUCUUUUUCUUCAAAUCAUUCCAAUCGUUCAAUGAUGUUCCAUAAAUCGAAAUUCAUGGAAAGCAAGAAAAUUCUCAUUCGAGUUUUCUAAUAUAUGUAGUCUAUCCCAUUAAACAUAGGAGGACGAAUGAUAGAGUGACUCUCUUGAAAUCUGAAAAGAGCCAUUUCUCUUCGGUGUUAAACCAAAUGAGAAAAACAUGACUCUAAUACCAACUGUUAGGAUCAAAUCGGCACUAAGAGGAGGGGGUGAAUUAGUAUGUAUGUAAAAAUCACAUUGAGUCAGAAAUCUUCAUUUCGAUAAAAAUUGAUAUUGGAAAUGCUUAACUUAAAAAAUAUUCAUAAGAGUGUGCGGCUAAAGUAAUGAGGAAGUAAAGUAGUUGCAAAGUAAGUAAAUGCAAACUGAGUUUAUAGUGGUUCGAUUGUCGUGACCUACGUCCACUCUCGAUUCCUCUUCCGUCAAGGCCACUGACAUCCACUAAUGGUCUCCCUUCAAUGGGCGAAGGCCAACUACCCUUACAACUCUAUUCUUCUUUUGAUAGGCUCAGGAGAGAACCUUUACACCCCUACUCACUCCUCUCUAAACAGAAAUCACACUUAGACUAGAGGAGAAGAACUCUCACGAGAUUACAAUAGAAUUUUCUCUUGUUUUUGUUCUUAGUUCUGGUGUGUUUUGAGUAGGGAUGAGAGAGGUAUUUGUAGGCCCCAAAUAGAUUCAAACUUAGAGCCUAAAAAUGUCUUAUCCCCGAUUUUCAAGGUACUAGCGAUACCACCACCUGUGUUGGGCGGUACCAUCGCCCGGUCUAGCGGUACCAUCGCUUGGACCCAACUUUUAGGUCACUGAAUGGUCCUUGCUCUUUGCCCAAAAAAGCCCUAAUUUGGGCCUAGUUAGCUCUUAAUUGAGUUGGCUUAAUUAUAUUCUAAACGAACCUAAUUACGACAUAAAAUAACUCGAUCUUAACAAAUUAUUACAAAGCACGAAUCUUCUAUUGUCCGACAUGUCAUUAGUUCUUCUAGUGCUUUGUCUGAUCCUUUAGCGUAUUGCCCAAUCAACAUGUUGUCUUCUCGCAACAUCUAAUCUCCUUGGCGCAAUGUCCAAUCUUCUUGGCCCGAUGCCCGAAUUCACGGACCGAAGCCUUCUACCGACACAUCGAUCGAUCCUAUAGCCCGAUGUCCAAUCUCUUAAUAUGUUCAACUCCAACCCAACAUCCAAUUCCUCAUGCUUUAAUUAAUUUACCUCUCCUGAUUGAAGCUAGUCCUACGUCACUCAAAACGUAGAUUAGAUCGUAAUAUUAUCAAUUAGUUUCAUCAUCAAAAUCUGAGAUUCAACAUCCAAGACCUCAAGCUUGUCAUGAUCUAUAAUUAUUGGUGAACAAAUAUGCCAUAGUUGAUGAUUAGCACGGCCUGGUCCACGGGUCAAUGUCAGGAGUCUUCUGUCGACUAAGCUGGAUGUUGAGGUCGACUGAGCCCUCACGAUGGGGUGCUGAUCAGUGUUCCUUAGUGUGUUGAUCCAGGCGCUAUGUAUGUCGUGCUGCGUCUCUCCUUCUCCGGGGUGGUUAGCAGCUCGUCUUCGUCAGAUGGUCAUGUUUUCUUGCAAAAAUGGCCCUCGUCGGGAUCACUCGACGAGGUCCCUCCGACGAGCAAGUCAGUGGAAUGAUCAAAUGACUCCCCCCCCCCCCCCCCCCGCUUUUUUCCUGGAUCAAGUCGGGGGUAUUUAUACCUGCGUGCGGGAAUUGGUCGGGCCCUGGUCUGGCAUGGCCGUUGACUCUAGGGGCGGAACAACCUCUCUAAUAAGAUGGCGUCUUCGGGGGUGCUUGAGUGGCAUCAGACGACACUACCCUAAUAGCAGAUGGCAUCGCCCCCAGCUCUUGGGGUGGUCAGGCCGCACAAUCGCACAGUUGGAGCUUGAUGUGGCGUGCACCCCACGCUUCUAGAGGCGUAUGGUGUCGCGUCGGUCUGCAGCGUCUGUCGGGGGUUCACAUAGGACCAAAAUACGCCCUAUCAAUAAUAUUUGACGAACACACUAAUUCACGUCCCCUCUAGAAAUGCUCAUAUGAUUGGAAAUUCAUGUAAAUAUAAAUUCAAUUGAAUUCAUUUUUAUCCAAAGCACAAAACAAAACAUUCAUAGCUUUGGCAUUCAAAGAGAAAGUAUUCUUCUCCAAAUCAUUCUAAUUGUUCAUUGGAAGAAAAGACUUUUGAAAUAUGUUUUUAAUGAUGUUCCAUAAAUCAAAAUUCAUGGAAAGCAAGAAAACUCUCAUUCGAGUUUUCUAAUAUAUGUAGUCCGUCUCAUUGAACAUAGGAGAACGAAUGAUAGAGUAACUCUCUUGAAAUAUGAAAAGAGCCAUUUCUCUUUGGUGUUAAACCAAAUGAGAAAAAUAUAGCUCUAAUACCAACUGUUAGGAUCAAAUUGGCACUAAGAGGAGGGGGUGAAUUAGUACGUACGUAAAAAUCACGUUGAGUCAGAAAUCUUCGUUUUGAUAAAAAUCGAUAUUUGAAAUGCUUAACUUAAAAAAUAUUCAUAAGAGUGUAUAGCUAAAGUAACGAGAAAGUAAAGUAGUUGCAAAGUAAGUAAAUGCAAACAGAGUUUAUAGUGGUUCGAUUAUCGUGACCUAUGUCCACUCCCGAUUCCUCUUCCGUCGAGGCCACCAAUAUUCACUAACGGUUUUCCUUCAAUGGACGAAAACCAACUACCCUUACAACUCUAUUCUUCUUUUGAUAGGCUCAGGAGAGAACCUUUACACCGCUACUCACUCCUCUCUAAACAGAAAUCACACUUAGACUAGAGGAGGAGAACUCUCGUGAGAUUACAACAGAAUUUUUCCUUAUUUUUGUUCUUAGUUCUUGUGUGUUUUGAGCAGGGAUGAGAGAGGUAUUUAUAGGCCCCAAAUAGAUUCAAAUUUGGAGCCUAAAAAUAUCUCAUCCUCGAUUUUUGGGAUAUUAGCGAUACCACCACUUGUGCUAGGCGGUAUCAUCGCCUAGUCUAACGAUACCAUCAUGUGGACCCAACUUUUAGAUCAUUGAAUGAGCCUUUUUCUUGGCACAAAAAAGCUCUAAUUUGGGCUUAGUUAGCUCCUAAUUGAGUUGGCUUAAUUACAUUCUAAACCAACCUAAUUACGACAUAAACUAACUCAAUCUAGACAAAUUAUUACAAAUGACGAAUCAUCUAUUGUCCGACAUGUCAUUGGUUCUUCCAGCACUUCGUCCGAUCAUUCGGCGUAUCGCCCAAUCAGCAUGUUGUCUUCUCGCAACAUCCAAUUUCCAUGGCGUAAUGUCUGACCUUCUUGGCUCAAUGCUUGAAUUCAUGGACCGAAGCCUUCUACCGACACGCUGAUCGAUCCUACGGCCCGAUAUCCAAUCUCCUAAUAUGUUUAACUCCAGCCCAACAUCCAAUUCCUCAUGCUUUAAUUAAUUUGCCUCUCCUGAUCGAAGCUAGUCCUGCGCCACUCAAAACGUAGAUUAGAUCAUAAUAUUAUCAAUUGGUUUCAUCAUCAAAAUCCGAUAUAUGUAUGUAUAUAUAUAUGUAUAUAUAUAUAUAUAUAUAUAUAUAUAUAUGUAUAUAUAUAAAUAUAUAUAUGUAUAUAUAUAUAUAAAUAUAAAUAUGUAUGUAUAUAUAUAUAUAUAUAUAUAUACAUAUAUACAUAUAUAUAUAUACAUAUAUACAUAUAUAUAUAUAUAUAUACAUAUAUAUACAUAUAUAUACAUAUAUAUACAUGUAUAUACAUAUAUAUGUAUAUAUAUACAUAUAUAUGUAUAUAUNNNNNNNNNNNNNNNNNNNNNNNNNNNNNNNNNNNNNNNNNNNNNNNNNNNNNNNNNNNNNNNNNNNNNNNNNNNNNNNNNNNNNNNNNNNNNNNNNNNNNNNNNNNNNNNNNNNNNNNNNNNNNNNNNNNNNNNNNNNNNNNNNNNNNNNNNNNNNNNNNNNNNNNNNNNNNNNNNNNNNNNNNNNNNNNNNNNNNNNNNNNNNNNNNNNNNNNNNNNNNNNNNNNNNNNNNNNNNNNNNNNNNNNNNNNNNNNNNNNNNNNNNNNNNNNNNNNNNNNNNNNNNNNNNNNNNNNNNNNNNNNNNNNNNNNNNNNNNNNNNNNNNNNNNNNNNNNNNNNNNNNNNNNNNNGUAUAUAUAUAUGUAUAUAUGUAUAUAUAUACAUAUAUACAUAUAUAUAUACAUAUAUAUAUAUAUAUAUACAUACAUAUAUAUAUAUAUAUAUACAUAUAUAUAUAUAUAUAUAUAUGUAUACAUAUAUAUAUAUUCUUUUGGGGGAACUCCUAUUAAAACACCUUCCUUCAUAUUUUCUAUAUAAUUAUAUCAUCAACACUUAUUCAAUUUGUCAUUCCAUUAAAGACUCCAUUAAGUAUAUUUUUUUUUGAAGUUAUUUUUAUUAAUAUUUUCUUAUUCAUAAUCCAAUCCAAAACUUCUCAUAAAAAAUUCGAACAUUUUGACAAUUGGCUCCAACGUAGUUCAAUCCAAAAUUUCUAUUACUUUUCGACAUUUUGACAAUCGACUCCAAAUGUUCGUGGCUCAACGAAGAGGAAGAUCUUGAUCCCCCCUCAGCUUCUUUCAUUCAUUCGUCGUCGGCAAAUUAUCUUUGGCUCUCGUGGAAGUCCCGUAAUGAUUACAAACAUCCAUAAUCAAUCGCAGCUUUGCAUCCAACUCAAAAUCCGAGGGCAACGGUAAGAUCUCUCUGCAAACCCAACACAACAUUCCUACACUCUCUUUUUAUGAUUGUUAUAUUUGAUCAAGAUAACAUGUCUCUCACCCGUUACUGUUCCUUCAAUACAACUUCUCCCACAAAGGCGAAGGCGAAAACAUGAGCGGUCCUCCAAUGCCUUUAAAAACAAUCUCUCACAUCUAUUCAAGUCAGUUCUGACCGAGCAACUUAAGCAAAUCUCAGUCACUUAUAAACCUAACUCGAGAUAUUAUCUAGAAAGUAGUAGACUAAAACAUCAUCAAAACUAUUUUGCACAUAUUUUAACAAAUUUUACAAGACAACUAAUCUUUUUUUUUUUUCUUUGUAUGAACUUCUUAUAGCCUAAUUUAUUACUUUAUUUAAAAAAAAUACAUAUUCAUUUAUAUUUUGCAAAAGGAAACUCAAUUUAAUAGCAGAUUUCAUUCUACGCAUAAAAACACCAAAGAUAUCAUCCUCAAAAGGACUACUACAAAAAUAAUCAAUGAGAAAGCCCAUGCAGUGGAGGAAAGCAAAUCGUUGCUCUGAGCUGUGAUCUCUGUUAUCAUGAGAAUAAUAGACGUCAAUCCUAAAGCAAAAUGAUGAACAACUUUCUACCGCAGGCAGUAACAUUUAUUGAGCUAAAUAACUGAUGAGUGUAAACAGCCACCUUUUUGUUAAUCUGCCUCUUGGUUGUCAAGAUAAAAGAUUCAUACACCUGAAUUAAACCUAGCUGGCUUAAUGCCACCUCAGCUUUCCUCCUAAGGAUCUGUGGCAGUGCUAGCGGUGUUAUGUUGGUGUUCGUAAUCCUCAGCUUCAUCUUUCAUACUUCUCCCAAAGAUAAAAGGCUUCGUUCCCAUGGUAGCGAACGGCAUUAGUCCAAAAGCCCGUGCAGUUUUAAUCUCCCUCGCAACUUUCCUCUGAGCUUUGGCACUGAUACGAGUCUGCAGAGAAACCAUGACGGUAAGUGAUCGAAAGAACGGCCAUAUCAUUUCUCUGAAAUUCUCGAUGGCAAAUUAUAUGAGUGGGAUUCAAUCUUGACCUUGCUUCUUUUAAUUAUAAUUCCUGCUUCAGUCAGAAAAUUUGAGAGGAACCUCACAUUCUGCAUUGGAUCAUCCCAGAUGUCAGAACAACAUAAGAAAACACCAAUUUAAUUAAUUUCUAGAAGAAAAAGAAUUAAGAGAAACCCAAGACAUUCAAAAACAAAGACAGACAGAUUAGUGAUGAGAUCGGCUGCACAGUGCUACAAACCCAAACCAGAAAGAAAUUUCUCUCCAAAAACUUUCAUAAACUAGGACAGAAUUUCCAAUGCAAACAUAUCCAACCUCUUCCAAAUAGAAGAGCACUUUACUGUUUGUGAUAAAUCAACCAGAAAAAAAGAUGUCAGAUACCUCAGAGUAGAUAGAUCACACAUAGGGACCACAUUUCCAAGAAUGCUUCAUUAUCACUGUUAUAAUAUGCUGAAAUUACAGAUAUCUAAUGGCGGCAGAAAUGCUAAAUAUCUAUUGGAGGCUCCUAUAUUAAUAGAACAACUUGAACUAAUCAGAGUUUAAGAAUAUCAAUACAAACAUAUCAGUGUAGCUUUGGUUAAGGGCUCUAGAACUCUGGGUAUGAAGUCAUUUAUUUUACUAAAAUAGUGCACAGUGAAGUACCUACAUCAAUUCAAAAUCUUAACUGUUCAAUUUGCUCCAUGGAAACAUAUAUAGCCUCAAAAUAGGAAGAGUCUGUUAGAGACAAAGUCAAUAGAAAAUUUAUUGGGUAUAAAGAUAUGCGCAUAUGCACCAAUACAUUAUUUAGAACUUAAAAUGUAUUAUAAUGAUAGUGAAAGCAGGUCAAUCAUAUUGUCAGGUUCUGACUCAAUGAAGUUGCAAACUACAAUGUGAUAUUAAUGCAAAUUUUUAAGUAUAUAAAGAAGCCAAAAAGUAUUAUGAGCCUACCCUGAAAUCAGCUUUCUUCAGAACCUCUUGUGUGGUUGUCUCAAACUCAUUUCUUUUGAAUCUCUUUUGAACCCCGGGUUUUGUAAGAUCAAGAUCCUAAAUGCAGCCACAGGAAAAAAGUGAGGAUGAAAGCAUACAAGUAAUAAUAACAGUUAAAAAAAAAUACUAUAUGACUUUAAUAAUAUAUCUAGGGUACUAAAUAACAUAUGAACUAUAUGAUUAGCAUUCAUUUAGAUAUUUGUUGUCUUGCUACAAAAACAAAAAUAGUCAUACAUAAGAUAGCAACCAUAGAACUAAAAAUAAAAAACUUACUGCCAAGGAAAAAGGCAAAAAAGCUAGCAAUUAGAAUGCCUCUUACCCUUGUUGUGUAAGUCAUACCAGGAUAAAAUGUCACAUCUGGUCUAAAUUUAUAAUUUUCAUCGUGUAUCUCAUCACUAAAAACAAACGUACGUGCUGCUUCCUUCAACUUUUCAUCCAUACCAUCUGACAAUGAAUUAAAACUAUCACUUAUACCAUCUAUGAUUCGAGAAUCAUCACUGUUCAAUUUGGAGCCAAUGCCAGAUCUUCCAUGAGCCUUCUCAAGUUUGUCAAGUUUGCGAUAAAAUGAAUCAUUUAUUUCAUUAUUGCUUAUAUCACCAAAUAAGCGUCGUUCAAAGUCAUCUGAGCUCUCAAACGAAUUAUCACUGUUUCGGCCAGAAUUACCAUUAUCUGUUUGGACCAGAGAAAGAACAACAGUGUAAACGUUAACACAGAAAUAAGACACUGAUAGAAAAAAAGAUCAAACAAAAUUUUAAAUUAAAUUGACUGCUAAAAUGUUGUCAAAUGUACACAAAGCAUGUUAGUGUCUCUUUUGAUAAAACACCUAGGACCUAGAAGCGGCUAAAUUUUGUGAAUAAGAAAUGUUUUCCAUUCACAAACAAGUAGGUGCAGCUCUGGAAAAAGAUAAAAUGAGGAAAGACAACAAAGCAUGACAUGUUUGAACAAGACAUCUAAAUAUCCUCGUUAGAUGAAGCAAAUUGGAUAGGAUUAGUGGUGUGAGAAAAUACAGAAGGAGAAAUAAGAAUAUAUUAUUAAAACAAUAAAAAGAAAGUUCACUACUUUUAGUUUAAGUAGGAUGUUUUCCUACCAGAACCCAAGAGAGAAAAAAGAUCCACAUAGCCAACCCAAACAGUUGAGACAUUACAACUAAAAGUAAGUUAGGAAGUGAAAGAAGCACAUCUAAUAGGUGGCCAUAAAAAUUUCAAGAACACAGCCGGAAAGAGCAUUACAAAAUACAACAUUUUUCAGAAAUAAAGUAGGGAUGUAUUUUCAAACAGGUACUUGUAAUUGAUUCGUGCCUGCAAAAUAUAGAAUUACCAAACAAUGGAUCUCGCUGAGAGGUUGUUAUCUUUACAAUUCACAUGACAACAAAUUUACGGCCUUCUAAAAUGAGAAUUCAUCAGCCGUGUCCUAUCCUAAGCUGUUAUCAUUGCGGCAGUUGUCAGCCGAGAAUACAAAACUGCAGAGAAUGAAUGCACAAAAAAUUUAUCAAUACAAAUGCUGCCAUGACCUACUCAAGUAAGAGUUUUUGGUUGAAGGGGAAAGCUGAUCAUGAGCUCUAGCCACCAUAACAGUGAUGAAAGAUUAAGAUGAUAGUUUGCUAUUAUGUAACAUUUUUUAUAUUGACCAUGCAGCAAUGGAUAAAUGGGUGUAUCUUACAAACCAAAUUUUUAGAGAUCAAAAUCAUAUACGAUGUACAUACAAAAUGGAUUACUGAGUAGUGAGACUUUUGAUUGGACUUGCAUAAAUAAAUUAUUAUUCAUCGACUGUGAUAGCAGAAAAUUACCAGAAAUCAACAGAAGAUGCUAUGCAUGAUGCAGAUCUCCUAAUGGGGCAGGGUUCAAAUUUGCAGAUAACUAGACUUGUUGACUGAAGCUGUCAGCUCAACAAUAUGGACUAUGGAGCAGAGUCAGAAUGUUUAAAUUCUGAGAUUAUGAAUUAGACGUCUGCAUGAGUUUCUCAUCCCAUCUCUCAUUUAGUGUGACUCGAGAGGAAAGCAUGCAUGACUUCAACAUACUUGGGGAUGGCUCAUUGGCUGGCAUCCAAAUUAACCUUGAGUCCAUGACAAGAUCAACCAAAGGGGCUUAGCAACACUACCUACGAGAUAUUGGCUCGUCAACUCACUCAUCCACUAAUGUCCCUGAUAAAAAAGAAGACACUUGAUUUGCAUACCAUAUGUUCGACAUACUUCCCAAAGCAAUGACAGAUCAAUUCCAUCGCAUACAUAAAAAUUACAAUGGUUCAUAAGGAACUAUAAGCAAAUUUUACAUAAUUACUAUACAACAAACAUUGACAAACUCGCUCCAACAGAAUUGAGAUACAAAGGAAAGGAGGUGCAGAAGAAGUUUAUCUAAUUGAGGAGGAGAAAGAAAGUAAUCAGAUACCAGUGCGAAAGGAUUGGUGUCUGAAGAAGAGAGGCAGCACUUGUUUGGAGGAGAGAAGCCCACACAAGCUAGGCUGACGCAGAAGUUCUUUUUGCAAUGCUAUCCUUCUCAUCAUUUGCUUCACGAACGAUGCUAUCACACUAAGGAGCAAGUUACAGAUUGAAUACCACAGUGGAGAUAAUAAUCUUAAAAGGCAUAAAAACAAACACCCAAUGUGCAAGAAUCAUUACCAAAGAGAAACUUGAGGAUAACGAAAAUUUUACAGGCAAAAAUACAAACAUCAUUAUUACGAACACACACACGUCUGUUACUUGACAUAGAUUUGCCCCAAAACAAACACAAAAAGCCAGAAAAACAAGACAAGACAAAAGCUCACGACUUACCAAGAAGUUCGAAAGGGUAAAGAAUGAAGAGGAUCGAAGACCAGAGAGAGAAAUAGAGAGGUACAAGGGGAAAGACGAGUUUGAGGAGCACCCGAAAAGCAGGCAGAGGAGGCUCUGGGAGGACGGAGGAUACCGCGGCUAGAUCGAGGAGGAGGAGGAGGAGGCUCCGGGAGGAUGGAGGAUACGGCGGCGGCAGCGAUGGCGGCGAGAUCAAGGAGGAGGCCUGGGGGCAGGCAGCGCACUGGAGCCGGGGGAAGAAGGGUGCGUCGAGCAGCUUCGGCGGCGCGCGAGUCGUUGGUGUAUCAUCCACGACCUAAAUGAAACUCGAGUGCAACCCGGCACCGACCGUGUAAGAGCUUAGUGGUGACAUUAAAAGCCCAGAAAGCCCAUCAAACUCGGCCCAUGCGCCCCAUGCGGUCCAAUUACAAUUCCCGACGACGCCAGGAUUCCUCCGCCGCCACCCGCAUCUCCUUCCUGCCGCCAGGAUCCUCAUCUCCGCGGGGAGAGGCGAGGAGGGCGGCUGGGCGAAGACGAGGAGGAGGCACUGCCUCUCGUCGCCGAGGGAUCGGUGCAUCGCCAGAUGAGCCGAGGACGAGGGAGCAGCGAAGCAGCCGACUGCUGUUCGUAAGGGAGUGGGAACAGUGAAGCGGAAAAGGAGGUCAGCGGACGGUUGCAGUUGUGGCAGUUGUUUGUUAUUAUUGGGAUAAAAAUGAUGGCCAGCAUUAAACAUCUAAUUUGAUCACUUGGUUAUUUUUAUUUAUUUUUACAAAAAAUUAUGAUUUAAACAUAAAUAUAUAUAUCACGUCUCUUUUUUUUUUGGUUGCAUAAUUACAUUUUUUAUUUUCAUUUUAUUUAUAAGUAUACUGAUUUUAAGAAAUAUCCUUCGUUUUGGAUUUUUUUUAAUAAAAUGUUUCCCAUUACUGUCCCAUUUUUUUAAUCUCAAAAUAACUCGAGUUGAACAGUCAAAAAGUCUCAGGAGUUAGUUAGUAUUUUUAAAUAAAAUUAUAUCAUUUUUUCGAAAGCACUAAUAGAAAACAUAAAAAAGGGAUGACAACUGGAAAAAGUCUAAAUUGAGAAGAUUUUUCGGAAAUUCGUCUUAUAUAAGAUGAAUUUUGUUUUUUUAUCACAAAUAACUCCUCUUUUGUAAGUAAUGACCAAAGUGUGCGAUAAGUUGCUGUGGUAGCAUAUCAGAGAUGGAGAUGGAGCAUAGCUUUCACCUCUCCAUCCAAUGAAUUGAUGUCUCGACAUCCCGAGAUGUGCCAUCAAUCCGUCCCCACCCCAUCACAAACAACGCCCCUUGGCUCCCAAAAAUACACCAUGUGCCAUGUGCCAUGUGCCAUGUCCAUGGUGGAGCACAGCAUCACCACAGCAAAAGAAUCUAACACCAGCCAUGUGACUCCCCCGUCCGCGAAAGCAGGUCACAGGCGCAAUAGCCACCAGCCAUGACGAAGACGACCCGGUUUUACACCAACCACAACAGUGAAAGAAUCCGUAAAAAGAGAGUUCCAAGGUGACAAGCCACUGAAACAGGACGACGCUCGCUCUCUCUCCCCUUCGGAGAGGGCUACAAAGGGACGCACAUUGCUGAGCCCCCAUGGCUCCACAACAUUUACACACCCACACAGCUUACUUCAAACACACUUGCAUAGCCCGCCGGAUCGCCUUUGCAUUUCCUGCGGGAACAUGUACCAGGCUUGUUCUCAAGGUUUUAUUCUUCUUCUGCCAUUCAUUGAUGGCGUACCUUCUUCUUCUUCGAUCAAAGGAAGUUAAGGCGAGAGGUGUAGGUGGCCUUGGGAGACCAGUUUCUUGGAAUCACGUCCCGGGCUGAGAGGGUCCUUUGGGUGGUCAAUGUGGUGAGCUUCACUGAGAAUGGCCCCUGCAGAGGUCCCCCAAUGAUGCACCAACUCGCUCCCCACACGUGCUUCAUCUCUAGCCACUUCAUGGAAUUUGCCUGCAAGAGAAAUAUGCACUUAACUGCAAAAGAAAUGGAUCAGUUCUUGACCGGACAGGGAGGAGCCUUUCCAACCUUCCAAUGUAAUGAGGAAUCGGUGACCGAGAAAUAUGAAUCCUAAAAAGUGGGAUCAAGAGUGCUGCCUGCAACUUUAGCUCCAAAGAGGAGAAGAAUAAAGAGCUUUAGUUGCAUCAAUUCUUGUCUUAAAGUUGUGAGUGCAUUCAUCAAUCAGGUUUUGGCCCACAACACUAACAACAAGAAAGUUCUUCUAAGAUUCUUAGCAUUAUUAUACUUAUCACUCUCCUCUAAGACAACAACAAACAUUCAUCACUGCAAUAUCUACAGUCAUGUCAGACAAAUAGCAGAAUCCUUGAUGAAAUCUUAUCUUCAUAAAUAAAACUACAACUUGAUGAGCUACUGAUGAUGGAUUGGAUUUGCCCGGUCAACACAACUCCUAUUUUCUUCAAAGAUGAUAAAUAGGCAGACCAACUUGUGGCAGACAGGCAAACCAGACACUGGGACAUUUGUUUGGGCUUUAUUGUUUAGAUAAAUGUUACUUUUACAACCAUAAAAAGAGGAGGAUAAAUUGCAGCAAAACUCCUAGAGCAGAGCUGAUCUGUCACCUAAAUAUUUUAGCUACAAACAGAUUGUGGAACAAACUGCAUCAUUUCCAUCUGUGCCGGUUCAUGUAGGAGAAGCAUCAAACUACAACUUAGAUAAGAACAUAAAACAGAUAUAAGGUAGGAAAUUGUACUUGUUUUAUAUGCAUGGAUCCGAUAUCUCCAUCAUCACCCUCAAACUCCACAAGAAGAGAGAGCCAAAAGUUCGUGGAACCUUCGUUUACAUGAAACGCGAUAUUCUUUCCCGGGUACUUGCAUGGAGUCCUGAAAAAUACAACAUUCGAAGAUAAAUUUUUGAUCGAACUAUAUUUGCUAAUGUAAGAAUUAAAUCACAUGGUGGUGGAUUUCCGAUAUAAUCCUCGACUUUGGCUGAUGCUCUAUGAUUUUUCCAGGCUAAUUUGACAAUUACUCUGAAAAUUCAAGAGAUUGGUAGAGCUAAACAGUAAAAUCACAUGCUUCAUAGACUGCUCUGAUGAGCAUCAAGGAAAGCUUCUGAUCCCUUUCAUCAACAGAAUUAACACAACCUUCUCUAUCUGAUGAUCCCACAACACCAACUUAUAAUCCAAUUUUAGGAGCCGGUUUUAGCAUUAAGGACUAAUUAGUGCUAGUAUUCAGUUCUAUAAGGAGCAACAUCAUUCAGCAAUCUUUUUUCAUGUUCCAGAUCAAAUCUUAUGCUCUCUAUCUCACUCUGCGGUAACUUUUUUAAGUUUAAUUUGAGUUCACCAGUAAAAGAUUUCUCAUAAAUUUGGUGAUUACUAUGUGCAUGACUAUGAAAAUUGUCAGGAAUCUCGAUAGCCACCGAUCUAAUAUGCUCAAGUCACACUCACACAUAUAUGAGACAACAAACAAUUGCAUAAAAAUGCCAAAAGCAGUUCCCUGUCUUGUAUGAUGAACAAAAUAAGGGGCGUCCGAAAAUGUCGUCUUUUGCACGAAAAUGUCGACAUUUGCACAUAAAUGUGGUAAACGGGGUUGUCGUCAUCGAUGUUUCGAUGCUUAGCUUACCUGCAGAAUAUGACGGAGAUCUCGCCACGGUCGCGCAGCUGGCCGGCCUCGCCCGCGACGGCCAUGCGGCCGAAAGCGGCACCGCUGAGGUCGAAAUGCGUGUGGCCGGAGGCGCAGUACCCGCCGGGACACUCGUCGGUGACGAUGACGGUGACGGCGCGGCGGGAGCAGAUGGCGGGGUCGAGGCACCGCACCUUGUAGCAGGCGCCGCAGCCCUCGCCGCCCUUGAACAGCACCGGGCUCACCGCCCCCACCCGCGCCCGCAGCGGCUUCACGUCCACCAGCGUCCCGUACCCGCACGCUCCACCUGCCAUCCACGAACCAUCACCAAAGCUUUAUUUCCAUGACUGCACGGAGGCGGCCAAAUUAGCACCAAAGGAGGGCGACGGCCAACACGAUGAGAUACGGUCGUCGCCCUACACACGCAACGCCUUCAUCCACCACACCGCUCUUGCCACGCAGCCAGAGUCAAGCGGGACCCGCGAGCAAGCGGGGUGAACGCCCAACGGCUACGAAGCCGCCAACGGCUAGAAACGCAAGCUCACGUGCGCGCCCGUCCGAUCUUAAUCUAAUGGUGGCGAGGGGAAGGGGAAGAGGUAGGGAAGGGCGAGAGCUCACCGUCGCUGCCGUCGCCCUCGGCGCUGCCGUACCACGUGGCAGUCGCCGGGUGCCAAUGCGGGUCGAAAACCGCAAACGCCUCGCCGGCGUCGAAGAAGAAGAAGAGGAAGCAAAACAAGAACAAAAAGAAGCCGCAGCUGGAGGAGGAGGAAGAAGUCAUUGUGAGCUUCUCUCCUCGCUUUUAGGCUUCCAGGAGGCCAAGUAUCAGCUCCAGUGUCCGGAUCUCG